GUUAGUCGGGAGGGGGCGCUGUACGCGCGCUGUACGCUUGCGCGAGGUGACGCCGGGGCAGGGCCGGAAGGAAUGCAGCGGCUGCCACGGAGCUCGUAGCUGCAGCUUUGGAGGAGUAAGCGGCGUGGUAGCGAAGGUCGCCGAACCCGCCUGGCUAGCCGGCGAGUUGAGUGGCGACUCUUUUGAAACAGAUGGUCACCAUGUUUAGAUAUUAGCAGUCCCGUAUGUGCAUGUCUGCAUUUGAAAAUGGAAGAGGGAAACAACAAUGAAGAGGUAAUUCACUUGAACAACUUUCACUGCCAUCGGGGACAAGACUUUGUAAUUUUCUUCUGGAAAACCCAGAUUAUCCAAAGAGAGAAGACAGAAUCAUUAUAAAUCCCAGUAGCAGUCUGCUGGCCAGCCAAGAUGAGACAAAGUUGCCUAAAAUAAGACUUUUUUGACUAUUCUAAAUUGACUCCUCUUGACCAGCACUGCUUCAUCCAAGCUGCUGACCUCCUCAUGGCCGACUUCAAAGUGCUCAGUAGUCAGGACAUCAUGUGGGCCCUGCACGAGCUCAAAGGACACUAUGCAAUCACCCGAAAGGACUUUGAGAGUCAUCAGCAUAUGGAAAAUCUCACCAGCCAGGAUGAGGUACCCAGAGAUACCAGGCCUUUUCUGAUGCCAUUAAAAAAUGGCAGGAGCUAUCACCAGAAACCAGUGGAAAAAGGAAAAAGAGAAAAGAAAUGAACCAGUAUUCUUAAAUUGAUUUCAAGUUUGAACAAGGUACUGGGCUGCUGGGGGAUCCCAAGUGAGCAGAGUCUGUUUUCUACCCUCGAGGAGCUCAGAGAAAAGGAAAUAGAUAAUUACUGUGUGAUGAGACUCCAGACAGAGGGGUUGGCAUCUGCACAUCCUUCCUGGGCAUCUCGUGGGCACUGCUCGAUUACCACCAGGCCUUGCACACCUGCCUCCCCUCCAAGCCCCUCCUGGGCCUGGGCUCCUCUGUGAUCUACGUCCUGUGGAACCUGCUGCUACUGUGGCCCCGAGUCCUAGCUGUGGCCCUGUUCUCAGCCCUCUUCCCCAGUAUGUAGCCCUGCAUUUCCUGGGCCUGUGGCUGGUACUGCUGCUCUGGGUUUGGCUUCAAGGCACAGACUUCAUGCUGGACCCCAGUUCCGAGUAUCCUCUAUUUCUCCUGGUUCAACGUGGCUGAGGGCCACACCCGAGGCCGGGCCACCAUCCACUUGGCUUUCCUCCUGAGUGACAGCAUUCUCCUGGUGGCCACCUGGGUGACUUACAGCUCCUGGCUGCCCAGCAGGAUUCCACUGCAGCUGUGGCUGCCUGUAGGAGGCGGAUGCUUCUUUCUGGGCCUGGCUCUGUGGCUUGUGUGCUACUGCUGGCUGCACCCUAGCUGAUGCUGGGAGCCCAACCCUGACCAGGUGGACAGGACCCAGAGUCUACUUUCCUCAGAGGGGUAUCAGCUGCCUCAGACCCAGUUAGCACAGAACUUUUUUCCCAAGGGUAAGGCUGAGGCUGCUUCGCCAGUGAAGGGAGAGGUGAACGGCGUCCUUUGAAGCAGGAUCAGACCCAGCCAGCAGAGAUGGAGAGUGACUGCUGGCAGAAGGCAGGCGAGGAUAAGCUAACGAUGCUGCUGUGGCCUCCAUGCACUCAGCAAGAGUGGGAUGCCUCUGCUGGGCCGUGCACCAGGGAUGGUGCUGAGUGGGGCAGAGGCCUGCCUUCAAGGAGUUCACAGUGAACAAGAUGAGAAGGGCUGGGCCCUGCAGGGUCAAGAGCCCCAAUUACGUACAAGACACUUUGGGAGGAAAGACGACUACCUUUUCUUUUCCCCCUGCCAUUGGUAUAGCUGGUGCCCCAAAACUUUCACCUCCCUCCCUGGCCACCUCUAAAAUGAUUGGUAUAGGGGCUUCCCCACCCCUUAGCUCCCCUAUCCUGGGCUAGAAGGCCACAGGGACUGUCCUCUAGAAUUCUUCCUCCCCUCCCCCACACCAUUCAUUCAAUUCGUGAAACAAAUCUUCACCGAGAGCAGUUUAUGUGCUAGGAACAUCAUUCUAUCCUUGCAACCUGGAACAAGACCAGCUACCACCUUAGCUUCAUCCCCUACUUGCACCAACCAGUCCCGGGUUAGAUCUCAAAUGCCGGAAGUCAGGGAUGCCCAACUCUGGGCAGCCCCAGUCAGAACCUCUGGGAUCUCAGUGAAGCUGGCCUGGCCUCUGCUCUUGCUCUCAAGGGGCUGCUUUUCAACCAAGAGCCUUGUGAGCCUGGUCUGAGCCUUGCACAGCCACUGAGUAUUUUUUAUUCCUUAGCCAGUGUACCUCCUACCUCAGAGUCUAUGUGAGAGGAAGAGAAUGUGUGUCCCUGUGGGUCUCUGCAAGUGACAGAUGUGUUGUUUUUAACAGUAUUAUUAGGUUAUGAUUAAAGCCUCAUGAAAUCCUCUAA
This 2430-nucleotide long non-coding RNA is filed under the name Homo sapiens (human). Its description in RNAcentral is "non-protein coding lnc-RBAK-RBAKDN-2:15". Lineage: Eukaryota; Metazoa; Chordata; Mammalia; Primates; Hominidae. The record is from RNAcentral.